AGAGGGUGCGAGCGUUAAUCGGAAUUACUGGGCGUAAAGGGCUUGUAGGUGGAUUUGUAAGUUAGAUGUGAAAGGCCUGGGCUUAACCUAGGGACUGCAUUUAAAACUGUGAAUCUAGAGUACAGUAGAGGAAAGUGGAAUUUCCGGUGUAGCGGUGAAAUGCGUAGAUAUCGGAAGGAACACCAGUGGCGAAGGCGGCUUUCUGGACUGAUACUGACACUGAAGAGCGAAAGCGUGGGUAGCGAACAGGGAUUAGAUACCCUGGUAGUCCACGCCGUAAACGAUGAGAACUAGCCGACUGGAGCUUAGCUCUGGGUGGCGCAGCUAACGCGUUAAGUUCUCCGCCUGGGGAGUACGGCCGCAAGGCUA
RNAcentral lists this ribosomal RNA (369 nucleotides) under uncultured organism. RNAcentral's name for it is "partial 16S ribosomal RNA". It matches the Rfam family "Bacterial small subunit ribosomal RNA", at positions 527 to 896 of the family's 1533-position model. The record is from RNAcentral.